This 284-nucleotide ribosomal RNA is filed under the name Salmonella enterica subsp. enterica. RNAcentral's name for it is "partial 16S ribosomal RNA". It matches the Rfam family "Bacterial small subunit ribosomal RNA", at positions 149 to 435 of the family's 1533-position model. Lineage: Bacteria; Pseudomonadati; Pseudomonadota; Gammaproteobacteria; Enterobacterales; Enterobacteriaceae. RNAcentral also lists the same sequence under 1 other name. The record is from RNAcentral.
ACUGGAAACGGUGGCUAAUACCGCAUAACGUCGCAAGACCAAAGAGGGGGACCUUCGGGCCUCUUGCCAUCAGAUGUGCCCAGAUGGGAUUAGCUUGUUGGUGAGGUAACGGCUCACCAAGGCGACGAUCCCUAGCUGGUCUGAGAGGAUGACCAGCCACACUGGAACUGAGACACGGUCCAGACUCCUACGGGAGGCAGCAGUGGGGAAUAUUGCACAAUGGGCGCAAGCCUGAUGCAGCCAUGCCGCGUGUAUGAAGAAGGCCUUCGGGUUGUAAAGUACUU